GAGAGUUCACUCCCCAAACCCCUGUGACAUACCUUAUGUUGCCUCGGCGGAUCAGCCCGCGCCCCCGUAAAACGGGACGGCCCGCCGCAGGAACCCCAAACUCUGUUUUUAGUGGAACUUCUGAGUAUAAAAAACAAAUAAAUCAAAACUUUCAACAACGGAUCUCUUGGUUCUGGCAUCGAUGAAGAACGCAGCAAAAUGCGAUAAGUAAUGUGAAUUGCAGAAUUCAGUGAAUCAUCGAAUCUUUGAACGCACAUUGCGCCCGCCAGUAUUCUGGCGGGCAUGCCUGUUCGAGCGUCAUUUCAACCCUCAAGCCCAGCUUGGUGUUGGGAGCUGCGUCCGCGCACUCCCCAAAUACAUUGGCGGUCACGUCGAGCUUCCAUAGCGUAGUAAUUUACACAUCGUUACUGGUAAUCGUCGCGGCCACGCCGUUAAACCCCAACUUCUGAAUGUUGACCUCGGAUCAGGUAGGAAUACCCGCUGAACUUAAGCAUAUCAAUAAGCGGAGGA
Molecule: ribosomal RNA, 510 nt
Filed under: Fusarium pseudograminearum
Lineage: Eukaryota; Fungi; Ascomycota; Sordariomycetes; Hypocreales; Nectriaceae
Description: partial 18S ribosomal RNA
Rfam family: 5.8S ribosomal RNA (bases 147-300)
Source: RNAcentral